Molecule: ribosomal RNA, 253 nt
Filed under: uncultured bacterium
Lineage: Bacteria
Description: partial 16S ribosomal RNA
Rfam family: Bacterial small subunit ribosomal RNA
Source: RNAcentral
UACGUAGGGUGCAAGCGUUGUCCGGAAUUAUUGGGCGUAAAGAGCGUGUAGGCGGCUUUACAGGUCCGUUGUGAAAACUCGAGGCUCAACCUCGAGACGCCGGUGGAAACCGUAAAGCUAGAGUCCGGAAGAGGAGAGUGGAAUUCCUGGUGUAGCGGUGAAAUGCGCAGAUAUCAGGAAGAACACCAAUGGCGAAAGCAGCUUUCUGGGACGGUACUGACGCUGAGACGCGAAAGCGUGGGGAGCGAACAGG